RNAcentral lists this ribosomal RNA (1023 nucleotides) under Leptotrombidium deliense. RNAcentral describes it as "16S rRNA". The stretch from base 637 to 930 matches the Rfam family "Archaeal large subunit ribosomal RNA", at positions 2150 to 2716 of the family's 2987-position model. The record is from RNAcentral. Lineage: Eukaryota; Metazoa; Arthropoda; Arachnida; Trombidiformes; Trombiculidae.
AAUAUUUCUCCAAGAAAUAAACAAACAUUUCUAAAAUCUUAAUUAAUCGAAAAUAAUUUAUCCCUUUUGUAUAAGGGGAUGAAAAUUUUCAAAAAUUCUCCUUUCCGAAAGUUUUUGAGCAAAGGCAAAUCUAUAAAAAAUAGCACAUUCUUUUGCCUUAGUAGAUAUAAUCUUUCCGAAAUGACUAAUAUCUGAUAUCAAAUUAUAAUUACAAAAAGGAAAGCCUUUUUAAAAAAGAAGUUUCUACCUUUUGUUCUCUAAAAUUGUUAAAAAUCUUUAAAAUUUUUCAUAAAAAUUUUACAUCACCUCAUGACUUUUUAAAAAAAGAUAAUUAAACAAGAUUUCAUCACUAGUAUAAUAAAAUUUAUGGGUACACAUUUCCCAAAAAAGAAUAAAUAAAAUUAUUAUUAAAGAACUAAAAGAAAGACCUUUUGAAUGCUUAUCAAAAACUUUUCUAUUUUAUUGAAUAGAAGUCCCUGCCAAUUGAAAAUUAAAAGGCCGAAGAAUUUUUACUUCGCGAAGGUAGCAAAAUAAUUUGGCUAUUUAUUGUAGUCCAGAAUGAGAGAGAAAACAAAAGAUUUCUUUUUAAAAUAUAAAAUUAAAAUCUAAUCUUCCUUUGAAAAUCAAGAAAAGCAUUUUUAAGACGAAAAGACCCCAGGAUCUUAUAUUUUUUUGAAAUUUUAUUGGGGCAAUACUUCAUCAUAAAAAGAAACCUAUUUUACUAACUGUUAUAACAAAAAUAAAGAUACCCUGGGGAUAACAGGGUAAUCUUCUAAGAGAGAUCUUAUCAAAUAGAGGGAUUUCUACCUCGAUGUUGGCUUUCCUAUUUCUUUUAGAGGAAGAAUAUUAAAAGAAAAAGUCUGUUCGACUUUAAUAAGGAACAUGAGCUGAGUUCAAGUCGGCAAAAGCCAGACUGGUUUUUAUCUAAAAAUUAUUAAGGAGAAUCUAGUACGAAAGGACAAAUUUUCCCCUCCAAGAGUAAAGACAAACCGAAAAGACAAACCUUGAAUUAAAAUUUAAUAA